GAUGAACGCUGGCGGCGUGCCUAAUACAUGCAAGUCGAGCGAACGGACGAGAAGCUUGCUUCUCUGAUGUUAGCGGCGGACGGGUGAGUAACACGUGGAUAACCUACCUAUAAGACUGGGAUAACUUCGGGAAACCGGAGCUAAUACCGGAUGAUAUUUUGAACCGCAUGGUUCAAAAGUGAAAGACGGUCUUGCUGUCACUUAUAGAUGGAUCCGCGCUGCAUUAGCUAGUUGGUAAGGUAACGGCUUACCAAGGCAACGAUGCAUAGCCGACCUGAGAGGGUGAUCGGCCAAACCGGAACCGGGAAACGGGCCAGAAUCCCACGGGAGGCAGCCGGAGGGAAUCUUCCGCAAUGGGCGAAAGCCCGACGGAGCAAAGCCGCGGGAGUGAUGAAGGUCUUCGGAUCGUAAAACCUUUUUAUUAGGGAAGAACAUAUGUGUAAGUAACUGUGCACAUCUUGACGGUACCUAAUCAGAAAGCCACGGCUAACUACGU
This 496-nucleotide ribosomal RNA is filed under the name uncultured bacterium. Its description in RNAcentral is "partial 16S ribosomal RNA". It matches the Rfam family "Bacterial small subunit ribosomal RNA", at positions 28 to 506 of the family's 1533-position model. The record is from RNAcentral.